AAAACGACUCUCGGCAACGGAUAUCUCGGCUCUCGCAUCGAUGAAGAAAUAAAAAAAACCGGAACCCCAAAAAAAGUCGAAACCCUGGUGUAAAAUUCCAAAAAAUUCCCCGUUGAACCAUCGAAGUCUUUUGAACGCCAAAGUUGCGGCCCUUAAACCUUUUGGCCGAGGGCCACGUCUGCCUGGG
Molecule: ribosomal RNA, 187 nt
Filed under: Alyssum wulfenianum
Lineage: Eukaryota; Viridiplantae; Streptophyta; Magnoliopsida; Brassicales; Brassicaceae
Description: 5.8S ribosomal RNA
Rfam family: 5.8S ribosomal RNA
About the family: 5.8S ribosomal RNA (5.8S rRNA) is a component of the large subunit of the eukaryotic ribosome.
Source: RNAcentral